CCUACGGGAGGCAGCAGUAGGGAAUCUUCCGCAAUGGACGAAAGUCUGACGGAGCAACGCCGCGUGAACGAUGAAGGCCUUCGGGUCGUAAAGUUCUGUUGUUAGGGAAGAACAAGUGCUAGUUAAAUAAGCUGGCACCUUGACGGUACCUAACCAGAAAGCCACGGCUAACUACGUGCCAGCAGCCGCGGUAAUACGUAGGUGGCAAGCGUUGUCCGGAAUUAUUGGGCGUAAAGCGCGCGCAGGCGGUUUCUUAAGUCUGAUGUGAAAGCCCCCGGCUCAACCGGGGAGGGUCAUUGGAAACUGGGAAACUUGAGUGCAGAAGAGGAAAGUGGAAUUCCAAGUGUAGCGGUGAAAUGCGUAGAGAUUUGGAGGAACACCAGUGGCGAAGGCGACUUUCUGGUCUGUAACUGACGCUGAGGCGCGAAAGCGUGGGGAGCAAACAGGAUUAGAUACCCUGGUAGUCCACGCUGUAAACGAUGAGUGCUAAGUGUUAGAGGGUUUCCGCCCUUUAGUGCUGAAGUUAACGCAUUAAGCACUCCGCCUGGGGAGUACGGUCGCAAGACUGAAACUCAAGAAUUGA
RNAcentral lists this ribosomal RNA (583 nucleotides) under uncultured bacterium. RNAcentral's name for it is "bacterial SSU rRNA". It matches the Rfam family "Bacterial small subunit ribosomal RNA", at positions 338 to 913 of the family's 1533-position model. The record is from RNAcentral.